UACGGAGGAUGCGAGCGUUAUCCGGAUUCAUUGGGUUUAAAGGGUGCGCAGGCGGCCGGGCAAGUCAGCGGUGAAAGUCAGGGGCCCAACCCCGGAAGUGCCGCUGAUACUGUUCGGCUGGAAUGCGGUCGAGGCGUGCGGAAUGUGGCGUGUAGCGGUGAAAUGCGUAGAUAUGCCACAGAACGCCGAUAGCGAAGGCAGCUCGCCAGGCCUGCAUUGACGCUCGGGCACGAAAGCGUGGGGAUCGAAC
RNAcentral lists this ribosomal RNA (250 nucleotides) under uncultured prokaryote. RNAcentral describes it as "partial 16S ribosomal RNA". It matches the Rfam family "Bacterial small subunit ribosomal RNA", at positions 524 to 773 of the family's 1533-position model. The record is from RNAcentral.